Molecule: ribosomal RNA, 240 nt
Filed under: uncultured bacterium
Lineage: Bacteria
Description: partial 16S ribosomal RNA
Rfam family: Bacterial small subunit ribosomal RNA
Source: RNAcentral
UACGUAGGAGGCGAGCGUUGUCCGGAGUUACUGGGCGUAAAGGUGCGCAGGCGGCGGUUCGCGUGGCGAGAUGAAUCUCCUGGCUUACCUGGAGGAUGUCGCCAGACGGAUCGCUUGAGGUCGGAGAGGCGUGGAAUUCCGGUGGAGCGUGAAAUGCGUAGAGAUCCGGAGGAACACCGACGGCGUAGGCAGCGCCCUGGACGACACCUGACGCUGAGGCACGAAAGCUGGAGCGAACAG